UACGUAGGGGGCAAGCGUUGUCCGGAUUUACUGGGCGUAAAGAGCGUGUAGGCGGCCAAACAGGUCCGUUGUGAAAACUGGAGGCUCAACCUCCAGACGUCGACGGAAACCGUAUGGCUAGAGUCCGGAAGAGGAGAGUGGAAUUCCUGGUGUAGCGGCGAAAUGCGCAGAUAUCAGGAAGAACACCAAUGGCGAAGGCAGCUCUCUGGGACGGUACUGACGCUGAGACGCGAAAGCGUGGGGAGCGAACAGG
This 253-nucleotide ribosomal RNA is filed under the name uncultured bacterium. Its description in RNAcentral is "partial 16S ribosomal RNA". It matches the Rfam family "Bacterial small subunit ribosomal RNA", at positions 524 to 776 of the family's 1533-position model. The record is from RNAcentral.